UGAAUUCCCUCUUCAAGUGCAUAGACAACCUGUAAUCCUGAACUCCUUGACAGUGACUGCCCAUUUCUAGACUCAUCUCUACCGUUUCAGAUGUCCCAGACCUGCACCUUCACCUUGAAAACACUCUAUUUUGGUACCGGAAAAUCUGAAGCUGUCAGCAGAGUGGAAUUAGAAAGACGACACAUCUUGUGUUAGUUUGGUGGAAGUUUUUGGCAUGGUCACAGGACUACACAGUGCUCUCACUUGAAAAGGAACAACUGCCUUUGCCCAGCUUUAUAUUCUUCAGUUUUCCUGCAUCUUCACCUUUUUACCCAUCAUGACACAUGAAUUUGAG
Molecule: long non-coding RNA, 334 nt
Organism: Myiozetetes cayanensis
Lineage: Eukaryota; Metazoa; Chordata; Aves; Passeriformes; Tyrannidae
Exons: 3
Source: RefSeq, a predicted model, not a curated record